This 298-nucleotide long non-coding RNA is filed under the name Homo sapiens (human). Its description in RNAcentral is "non-protein coding lnc-RAB36-6:1". The record is from RNAcentral. Lineage: Eukaryota; Metazoa; Chordata; Mammalia; Primates; Hominidae.
UUUGUAAACCCUCCUGACCACCUGGCUCAAAGAAAACAGAAGCAUGGAGACCGCCAAGUAUUUUCAAGAAAUAACCCCAUGAAUAUUCCAUCACUUUUUUAGAAAGAGGGGCUUGGGGCAGGCAGAGGAGAGAAGGGAGAGCAAACUGAGAGCCAAGUUUCCACACGGUCCUGCAGGAGGAGAGGAUGCAGCUGCCCAGAGGGAAGCAGGAUCACAUUUAAGGAAGUGUGUGGGGUCCCUGGAUGACACCAGCACCCAGUGCGGCUCUGUCUGGCACCCGCUCCCAAGGUGGGAGGAG